This 114-nucleotide ribosomal RNA is filed under the name Erinaceus europaeus (western European hedgehog). The record is from RNAcentral. Lineage: Eukaryota; Metazoa; Chordata; Mammalia; Eulipotyphla; Erinaceidae.
GUCUAUUGCCAGACCACCCUGUAUACAUCCAAUCUCAUCUGAUCCCGAAGCCAAGCAGGGUUGGGUCUGGUUAGAACUUGGAUGGGAAGUAAGGGAUGUAAGGGUGACUAGAGU